This 253-nucleotide ribosomal RNA is filed under the name uncultured bacterium. RNAcentral's name for it is "partial 16S ribosomal RNA". It matches the Rfam family "Bacterial small subunit ribosomal RNA", at positions 524 to 776 of the family's 1533-position model. The record is from RNAcentral.
UACGUAGGGUGCGAGCGUUGCCCGGAUUUAUUGGGCGUAAAGGGCGCGUAGGCGGCUCGGCACGUCCGUUGUGAAAUGCCGGGGCUCAACCCCGGGACUGCGUCCGAUACUCCCGAGCUGGAGGCAGGUAGGGGAGAUCGGAAUUCCUGGUGUAGCGGUGAAAUGCGCAGAUAUCAGGAGGAACACCGGUGGCGAAGGCGGAUCUCUGGGCCUUGCCUGACGCUGAGGCGCGAAAGCCAGGGGAGCAAACGGG